Molecule: ribosomal RNA, 428 nt
Filed under: uncultured bacterium
Lineage: Bacteria
Description: bacterial SSU rRNA
Rfam family: Bacterial small subunit ribosomal RNA
Source: RNAcentral
GGGGAAUAUUGGACAAUGGGGGAAACCCUGAUCCAGCAAUGCCGCGUGUGUGAAGAAGGCCUUCGGGUUGUAAAGCACUUUCAAUAGGGAGGAAAAGCUAUGCGUUAAUAGCGUAUAGCCGUGACGUUACCUAUAGAAGAAGCACCGGCUAACUCCGUGCCAGCAGCCGCGGUAAUACGGAGGGUGCAAGCGUUAAUCGGAAUUACUGGGCGUAAAGCGCGCGUAGGCGGUUUGCUAAGUCAGAUGUGAAAUCCCCGGGCUCAACCUGGGAAUGGCAUUUGAGACUGGUAGGCUAGAAUGUGGUAGAGGUGAGUGGAAUUCCAGGUGUAGCGGUGAAAUGCGUAGAGAUCUGGAGGAACAUCAGUGGCGAAGGCGACUCACUGGGCCAUUAUUGACGCUGAGGUGCGAAAGCGUGGGUAGCAAACAGG